GGGGAUUUGCCAAUGGGCGAAACCUGUGCAGCCUGCCGCGUGUAUGAAGAAGGCCUUCGGGUUGUAAAGUACUUUCAGUUGUGAGGAAGGNUGUGUAGUUAAUAACUGCGCAUUUUGACGUUAGCAACAGAAGAAGCACCGGCUAACUCCGUGCCAGCAGCCGCGGUAAUACGGAGGGUGCGAGCGUUAAUCGGAAUUACUGGGCGUAAAGCGCAUGCAGGUGGUUUGUUAAGUCAGAUGUGAAAGCCCGGGGCUCAACCUCGGAAGGUCAUUUGAAACUGGCAAACUAGAGUACUGUAGAGGGGGGUAGAAUUUCAGGUGUAGCGGUGAAAUGCGUAGAGAUCUGAAGGAAUACCAGUGGCGAAGGCGGCCCCCUGGACAGAUACUGACACUCAGAUGCGAAAGCGUGGGGAGCAAACAGGAUUAGAUACCCUGGUAGUCCACGCCGUAAACGAUGUCUCUUGGAGGUUGUGGCCUUGAGCCGUGGCUUUCGGGAGCUAACGCGUUAAGUAGACCGCCUGGGGAGUACGGUCGCAAGAUUAAAACUCAAAUGAAUUGACGGGGGCCCGCACAAGCGGUGGAGCAUGUGGUUUAAUUCGAUGCAACGCGAAGAACCUUACCUACUCUUGACAUCCAGAGAACUUUCCAGAGAGGAUUGGUGC
RNAcentral lists this ribosomal RNA (662 nucleotides) under Vibrio sp. UST020129-008. Its description in RNAcentral is "bacterial SSU rRNA". It matches the Rfam family "Bacterial small subunit ribosomal RNA", at positions 357 to 1017 of the family's 1533-position model. The record is from RNAcentral. Lineage: Bacteria; Pseudomonadati; Pseudomonadota; Gammaproteobacteria; Vibrionales; Vibrionaceae.